GAUGAAGAACGCAGCGAAAUGCGAUAAGUAAUGUGAAUUGCAGAAUUCAGUGAAUCAUCGAAUCUUUGAACGCACAUUGCGCCCGCCAGUAUUCUGGCGGGCAUGCCUGUCCGAGCGUCAUUUCAACCCUCGAACCCCUCCGGGGGGUCGGCGUUGGGGAUCGGCCCUUUCACCGGGUGCCGUCCCCCAAAUACAGUGGCGGUCUCGCCGCAGCCUCUCAUGCGCAGUAGUUUGCACACUCGCACCGGGAGCGCGGCGCGUCCACGUCCGUAAAACUCCCCAAACUUCUGAAAUGUUGACCUCGGAUCAGGUAGGAAUACCCGCUGAACUUAAGCAUAUCAAUAAGCGGAGGA
This 353-nucleotide unclassified non-coding RNA is filed under the name soil metagenome. RNAcentral describes it as "partial contains 5.8S ribosomal RNA, internal transcribed spacer 2, and large subunit ribosomal RNA". The stretch from base 1 to 120 matches the Rfam family "5.8S ribosomal RNA", at positions 35 to 154 of the family's 154-position model. The record is from RNAcentral.